ACUUUUGACCGGACUUCAGUCUCGUGAAGCUGGGCUGCUUUUUCAGACGGCCAGUUCCAAAAAUGAACACUGUCAAGUUCUCCUUUCUGGUCCUCCCGAAGGUUUCCAAGAAUGUGACAUCCUCUCGCAAGCCAAGAGCAACACUUGGAUGUGCUAGCUGGAGCUGCCACAUGUCAAGUUGCUCCAUAUUCUGUGGCUUUGAGAUCCAGGCAAAUGUCCACAAAGGAGAGGAUUGUAACCACUGAAACACAGCGUGAAUACAGGGCCCUGGAUUCUGUUGUGGGCAAG
Long non-coding RNA from Diceros bicornis minor, 288 nucleotides. RefSeq lists it as uncharacterized. NCBI's taxonomy places the organism in Eukaryota, Metazoa, Chordata, Mammalia, Perissodactyla, Rhinocerotidae. The record is from RefSeq and is a predicted model, not a curated record. The transcript is spliced from 2 exons.